AUGUCUGCUGCAUCGGGCUAUGUCUCCGUCCCUCGCCGUCCGGUGAUCUUCGAUGGUACUAACUACACCGAGUUCGCUGGCUUCAUGCGCAUUCACAUGCGUGGCAUCCGUCUCUGGGGUGUUCUUUCUGGCGAGGUCUGCUGUCCGCCACGUCCGGUUCCUCCGGUGGCCCCUACUCCGCCGACUCCACUGGUUCUUCCUACGGAUGCAAAUCAGGCCGCCAAGGAUGCGGCUAAGAUUGCUGAUGAGGCUGCUGAUCGUGCCUAUGAUGAGAGGGCUUUGACUUAUGAGGAGGCUCUUCAGACGUAUCAUGGUGCUUUGUCUGUUUACACUCAGUGGCUUGAUGAUGAUGCUCGUGUUGCAGCUGUUCUCACUGCUAGUGUUCUGCCUCAGUUUGCUUCUGAGUUUCUGGGUCUUCCUACUGUCUUCCAGAUGUGGACCUGCCUUCGUCAGCGCUAUGAGCCCUCUGGUGAUGCCUUAUAUCUUUCUGUGGUUCGUCAGGAGCAUGCUCUUCAGCAGGGUGACUCUACUGUUGAUGACUUUUAUGCACAGAGUUCUGCUAUCUGGCGCCAACUUGAUUCUCUCCGCAGUGCUGGUUGUCGUACUUGCCCCUGCUGCCAGGCUGUCCAGGCCGAUUUGGAGUUUCAUCGCGUCUACGAGUUCCUGUCUCGGCUCCGUAAGGAGUUUGAGCCCCGGCGUGCUCAGUUGUUUGCUCGUGGCCGUAUUUCUCUCAUGGAGGCGCUUUCAGAGAUUCGUGCUGAGGAGACUCGCCUACGUGGUGCUGGUUUGCUGGAGGUUCCCUCUGUGCUCGCUACUCGGGUUUCUUCCACUCCACCUGUUGCACAGCCCCAUUCUCGCUCGAGUGCUCCGCCGCUCUUGCCCACUCCUUCUGGAGGCUCAGGUCGGCCCCGUUCACAUUGUGACUACUGCAACAAUGAUGGUCAUAUUGAGUCCCAGUGCUACACAAAGCGGAAACACCUGCGCAAGGCGCGAUCAUCCUCCUCCGGGACUUCGUCAUCUCCCUCGCCAGCUUCAGCCAUUGCUUUGACUGAGCAGGAUAUUCUGAGACUUAAGCGUCUGCUCGCGGCUUCAGGUUCUUCCUCGACGGGUACUGCUGGUUCUGUGACUGAUGCUUCCCGCACUGAGCACCCGCCCUCUACACAGUCAGGUACAUCCCCAUGGGUUCUGGAUUCUGGAGCUUCUUUUCAUAUGUCUUCUCAUUCUUCCGCUUUGUCUUCUCUUCGCUCGCUGGAUUCUCCUGUUCAUGUCUUCACUGCUGAUGGUACUCCACUUUCUGUUGCUAGUAGAGGCCAUCUUUUCACUCCUUCUUAUUCUGUUCCUGAUGUUGCUCAUGUUCCUCGACUUACCAUGAAUCUGUUUUCUGCCGGUCAACUUACUGAUUCUGGUUGUCGUGUCAUCCUUGAUGUUGACUCUUGUUCUGUCCAGGAUCGUCGCACGCACACUCUGGUUGGGGCUGGCCCUCGCCGCCGUGAUUCUCAGGGUCUUUGGGAGUUGGACUGGCUUCAUGUUCCUUCCGCUGCCACCACCAUCGCCAGUCCCUCCGCUGUUGUCGCCUCUGUUACUGGUUCCUUCAAGCAGUGGCAUCAUCGACUUGGUCAUCUGUGUGGUUCUCGGUUAUCGUCUUUAGUUCGUCGAGGUCUUCUGGGGUCUGUCUCAGGAGAUGUCUCUUUAGAGUGUCAGGGUUGUCGUCUUGGCAAGCAGAUUCAGUUACCAUAUUCCCAUAGUGAGUCAGUGUCUAAGCGUCCUUUCGAUUUAGUCCAUUCUGAUGUAUGGGGUCCGGCUCCUUUCGCUUCGAAAGGUGGUCAUAAAUACUAUAUUAUUUUCAUCGAUGAUUUUUCUCGUUACACAUGGCUUUAUUUCAUGACUUCACGUAGUGAGGUGUUGUCUAUUUAUAAGCGUUUUGCUGCCAUGGUUCAUACUCAGUUCUCUUCACCCAUUCGUGUUUUUCAUGCUGACUCCGCUGGUGAGUAUAUCUCUAAGAUGUUGCGUGGUGUCCUUGUUGAGCAGGGUACUCUUGCCUAG
This 2043-nucleotide ribosomal RNA is filed under the name Triticum aestivum (bread wheat). RNAcentral describes it as "partial small subunit ribosomal RNA". The record is from RNAcentral. Lineage: Eukaryota; Viridiplantae; Streptophyta; Magnoliopsida; Poales; Poaceae.